This 1234-nucleotide ribosomal RNA is filed under the name metagenome. Its description in RNAcentral is "bacterial LSU rRNA". It matches the Rfam family "Bacterial large subunit ribosomal RNA", at positions 1564 to 2808 of the family's 2925-position model. The record is from RNAcentral.
UGAAUACGAGACGCUAAGGCGUCGAAGUAGUGUAUGUCAUACUUCCAAGAAAAGCUUGCACUGUCAUAGAUAAAAAACGCCUGUACCAUAACCGACACAGGUGGGUAGGUAGAGUAUACUAAGGGGCGCGAGAUAACUCUCUCUAAGGAACUCGGCAAAAUAACUCCGUAACUUCGGGAGAAGGAGUGCCUUAUUCGUAAGGUUGCAAUAACAAGAUCCAAGCAACUGUUUAUCAAAAACACAGGUCUCCGCUAAGUCGUAAGACGAUGUAUGGGGGCUGACGCCUGCCCAGUGCCAGAAGGUUAAAGAAGUUGGUUAGCAAUUGCGAAGCUGAUAACUGAAGCCCUGGUGAACGGCGGCCGUAACCAUAACGGUCCUAAGGUAGCGAAAUUCCUUGUCGGGUAAGUUCCGACCCGCACGAAAGGCGUAAUGAUUUGGAUACUGUCUCGGAGAGGGGCUCGGUGAAAUAGACUUGUCUGUGAAGAUGCGGACUACCUGCACCAGGACAGAAAGACCCUAUGAAGCUUUACUGUAACUUGAAAUUGAAAUUGGACUUUAUUCGCGCAGUAUAGGUGGGAGGCGUUGAUUAUAAUCUUGUGGGAUUAUUGGAGCCAUCAGUGAGAUACCACUCUUGUAAUGUUAGAUUUCUAACUUUGAAUCAUUAUCUGGUCAAAGAACAGUUUCAGGCGGGCAGUUUGACUGGGGCGGUCGCCUCCUAAACGGUAACGGAGGCGUACAAAGGUUUCCUCUGAACGGUUAGAAAUCGUAUCUAGAGUGUAAAGGCAUAAGGAAGCUUGACUGUGAGACCUACAAGUCGAGCAGGGACGAAAGUCGGUCUUAGUGAUCUGACGGUACUGAGUGGAAAGGCCGUCACUCAACGGAUAAAAGUUACUCUAGGAUAACAGGCUGAUCUCCCCCAAGAGUUCACAUCGACGGGGAGGUUUGGCACCUUGAUGUCGGCUCAUCGCAUCCUGGGGCGGUAGUACGUCCCAAGGGUUGGGCUGUUCGCCCAUGAAAGCGGUACGCGAGCUGGGUUCAGAACGUCGUGAGACAGUUCGGUCCAUAUCCGGUGUAGGCGUUAGAAUAUUGAGAGGAGCCUUCUUUAGUACGAGAGGACCGAGAAGGACAUACCUCUGGUGUACCAGUUAUCGUGCCAACGGUAAACGCUGGGUAGCUAUGUAUGGAGUGGAUAACCGCUGAAAGCAUCUAAGUGGGAAGCCCACCUCAAGAUAAG